Molecule: non-coding RNA, 98 nt
Organism: Acanthosepion pharaonis
Lineage: Eukaryota; Metazoa; Mollusca; Cephalopoda; Sepiida; Sepiidae
Source: the annotation of a GenBank genome assembly
AUUGAAGCACCAGUUCCCAUACAAAUGCUGAAGUUAAGCAAUGUUGAGACUGGUCAGUACCUAUAUGGGUGACCGUUUGGGAAUACUGGGUGCUGUAA